AUAUUGAAAAUGGAAUAA
RNAcentral lists this microRNA (18 nucleotides) under Corchorus olitorius. RNAcentral describes it as "cin-miR-4184-". The record is from RNAcentral. Lineage: Eukaryota; Viridiplantae; Streptophyta; Magnoliopsida; Malvales; Malvaceae.